GGGGAUGAUCGGUUUCGACAUUGCCUGUUCAAUUGCGAGAAGCGGGUCGAGGAUUCAGGGUUAUCUCGUAAACGAUCUCUGAAAAACAAUAAGUGCCAAUUCAAAGCGCACUGACUUCGCCCUCGCUGCCUAAGCGAGCGCACUAAAGAAGUCCGUCAGACCGGGAAUGCUCUCUACCCGGACCCUGGCGCCAUUUAGAGAGAUUGCUUCUACAUUGAGCCGCGGGGUGUAGAGGGACUUAAACGAGGGCUGGGCUUGUCGGAGUAGGUGCCAGUGGCAAAUUCCGGAGCCGAGUAGAACGACUUAACUGGCUACACCCGUAGAAGGCGCAUGACUACAGCAGUGGACCCGGGUUCAAUUCCCGGCAUCUCCACCA
Non-coding RNA from Microterricola viridarii, 376 nucleotides. It matches the Rfam family "transfer-messenger RNA". From Rfam's summary of the family: Bacterial tmRNA, also known as 10Sa RNA or SsrA, is named for its dual tRNA and mRNA-like properties. Its role is to liberate the mRNA from a stalled ribosome. The record is from Rfam. NCBI's taxonomy places the organism in Bacteria, Bacillati, Actinomycetota, Actinomycetes, Micrococcales, Microbacteriaceae.